UACGUAGGGGGCAAGCGUUGUCCGGAAUCAUUGGGCGUAAAGAGCGUGUAGGCGGCCAGAAAAGUCCGCUGUGAAAACUCGAGGCUCAACUUCGAGCUGUCGGUGGAAACUUUCUGGCUAGGGUCCGGAAGAGGAGAAUGGAAUUCCUGGUGUAGCGGUGAAAUGCGCAGAUAUCAGGAGGAACACCAAUGGCGAAGGCAGCUCGCUGGGACGUGACUGACGCUGAGACGCGAAAGCGUGGGGAGCAAACAGG
This 253-nucleotide ribosomal RNA is filed under the name uncultured bacterium. RNAcentral's name for it is "partial 16S ribosomal RNA". It matches the Rfam family "Bacterial small subunit ribosomal RNA", at positions 524 to 776 of the family's 1533-position model. The record is from RNAcentral.